Molecule: ribosomal RNA, 775 nt
Filed under: uncultured Neocallimastigales
Lineage: Eukaryota; Fungi; Neocallimastigomycota; Neocallimastigomycetes; Neocallimastigales
Description: partial large subunit ribosomal RNA
Rfam family: Eukaryotic large subunit ribosomal RNA
Source: RNAcentral
CAUAGCGACUAUCGUGGCAUAUCAAUAAGCGGAGGAAAAGAAACUAACAAGGAUUCCCCUAGUAACGGCGAGUGAAGCGGGAAGAGCUCAAAUUUGAAAUCUUCAAGGGUUUCCCUUGACGAAUUGUAGUUUAAAGAAGUGUUUUCUGUUAGAGAGGUGGUAAAAGCUCUUUGGAAUAGGACAUCAUGGAGGGUGAGAAUCCCGUAUUUGACCAUUAUUUCCAACUUUGUGAGUACACUUUCAAAGAGUCGGAUUGUUUGGGAAUGCAGUCCAAAAUGGGUGGUAAAUUUCAUCUAAAGCUAAAUAUUGGCGAGAGACCGAUAGCGAACAAGUACCGUGAGGGAAAGAUGAAAAGAACUUUGAAAAGAGAGUUAAACAGUACGUGAAAUUGUCAAAAGGGAAGCGUUUGACACCAGUGUUGUUUUCUCGAAAAUCAAUUAAAAAUGAUGGGAUUUUGUGUUGUAUUGACUUUAUCAGCUUUCUGCACUUUUUUCUUAUCUUUUUUAAUGCACUUUUCGUUUAACAAGUCAACACCAAUUUCUUUUGUUGUAAAAGAGUCAUUGGAAGGUGGCUUUUUCUUCGGAAAAAGUGUUUAUAGCCUUUGGCUUCUGCAAUCGGAGAGAUUGAGGUCUGCAGCGUAGAUCCUUCGGGGUUAGAUACACUUGUGCUAAGCUAUAGUUCUUUAUAGACAACUUGUUGACUAUAAUCAAUCCUGUAACUUACUCGCUUAUGCUAUUUUACCUACGCUUAGGAUGUUGAAGAUAUGCGCGACACG